RNAcentral lists this ribosomal RNA (400 nucleotides) under uncultured beta proteobacterium. RNAcentral's name for it is "bacterial SSU rRNA". It matches the Rfam family "Bacterial small subunit ribosomal RNA", at positions 29 to 420 of the family's 1533-position model. Lineage: Bacteria; Pseudomonadati; Pseudomonadota; Betaproteobacteria. The record is from RNAcentral.
AUUGAACGCUGGCGGCACGCUUUACACAUGCAAGUCGAGCGGUCAAAAUGAGGGGGCUUGCCCCCGAAAGACGAGCGGCGGACGGGUGAGUAACGCAUGGGAAUGCGCCCAGUAGUGGGGGACAACCCUGGGAAACCAGGGCUAAUACCGCAUGUUUUCCACGGAACAAAGCGGGGGACUUCUUCGGAAACCUCGCGCUAUUGGAGCAGCCCAUGUCCGAUUAGCUUGUUGGCGGGGUAACGGCCCACCAAGGCGACGAUCGGUAGCUGGUCUGAGAGGAUGAUCAGCCACACCGGGACUGAGACACGGCCCGGACUCCUACGGGAGGCAGCAGUGGGGAAUAUUGGACAAUGGGGGCAACCCUGAUCCAGCGAUGCCGCGUGAGUGAAGAAGGCCUUCG